GAUCAUUAUUGAAUAAACCUGAU
This 23-nucleotide ribosomal RNA is filed under the name uncultured cf. Laccaria sp. RNAcentral's name for it is "partial 18S ribosomal RNA". Lineage: Eukaryota; Fungi; Basidiomycota; Agaricomycetes; Agaricales; Tricholomataceae. The record is from RNAcentral.